GCACCUAUAAACCCUAUCCUUCCUGCUAACGAGAUGUGAUCUACAAAGGUAGCUCGGAAAUGUCACGUUCCUCAGUACUACCACGGUCCAGCUAGUCAGGGAAUAUCUAUGAGUACCCCAGCCUAAACACCACGUUUACGCUAGCAAUGAUUACUCUAAACUCUACGCGAAGAGAUUAAAGUAAACUCAUAAACCAUAAGAACAAUAAAACAAGAACUUACUAGAAUUUAGAAGUCGAAUUACUGAAGAAUCCGAGGAGCAAGCUUCGGGUUAGGAGAACUUGAUCCCGCAGGUACAAGCUUGGAGUAGACACCGACAGGCCGGGCUUCCUCCACUCUACACCUCCACUCUAUCUCUCUCAAUCUAGUAGAAACUAGAAGAUCUAUUUCUACCUUACAUUGAUUGCUAAGCCUAAAAAGAAAUAUUAAUUAGAGAAGAGGUUUUCCUUCGAGGGCACCCCUCAGUCUCUAUGAUAAUUUCUUCAUGUCUUCUCCAGGGGCCAGGGGGGCCUCGCUUAUAUAGUCCUCCCCUUCUAUGCGUUUUUGGGUCGAUAGCUGAGGUGGUACUAUGUUUUUCUUGAUUCAAUAGGUCGGUGGAAUAUCCCGAGUGAAGGAGUCCUGAAUUGGCUCCAACAGGGGGGCGGGCGCCCAGGCUACCAGGGCAGGCGCCCUGGGCCUGGCCCAGCUUCGCCUCAGCUUCGGUCUCGUGGCUUCUGGAGUCUUCUAGAUGAUGUAAAAUUGCGCGGUGCGUUGAUAUCUCUAUGUAAUCCCGACAUGUGGGCCUUUCUUCCUUAUUUCCUGGUAACCCCCUGCAGAAACAGAUAAACAACAAAACUCGUGGAAUUCUGUCAGAUCAAACCCUAAUUCUAGGUGAUGGUUGCAUAUUGGUCCUUUCUCUUGUUUAUUUGAUAAUUAAAAUUGAUACUUAAGAACCGUCAACAAAUACCCCCAUACUUAGGCUUUUACUCGUCCUCGAGAAAAGGAUGGUUAAGAACAAUAUCUGGGGUAAACAUUUAAAACAUUCUCUAUAUAAUUUGCAGGGUGUUAAAAUUCCACUGUGUACUGUAGUCAGGGAAGUAUAUGGUUAAGAGUAAAGAUUCUUUCUUUUCAAUCCUGUCACUUGGAGUUUUUGUAUAUUUUUGAAAGAAAGUUAGCAUACCUUUUGAUCCUCAUAGGUUCUCUCAGAUCACUCAUUAUCUCUUAUAUAUAUAUCUCACUGAGGCUGUUUUAUUUUGCAAAAAUUCUCAAGCAUACUUACUUUGGACUUAUUGCCUGAUCAAAACGGGAUCUGAGGAGGGAAAUGUCAUACUCUUAGAUCAAAGACUUUGGAAAUUAAAAACUUUGUCAACUCUUGCUGGCAUAUUGCUUAUUAGAGGGACCAUGGGCUAUCAUUUUUUUUCUCUUUUUUUUUAAGUGGAUACCGAGGUACCCCUAAUUCUACUGCCGGACACUUGUCCAUUUUUUCUGCGAGGUUGUCGAGCACUUGCUCCUUUUUAUUUCCUUGAAAUAUCUUCUAUUUUUGCUUAGCCCAUGCCUCUAAUGCAAUAAUACUUCGGAAGAGUGAAUCUAACUGAAAUAGUGUCUUGAUCUUAGAAGCAUGAUAAAUCUCUCAACAAGGGUCUAACUCAUUUUGAACAAACUCAAUACAGAGCAGAUAGCUUUUAUAAUCAUAUUUAAUAUUUCAGUUUUAUCAGGCAUAUAAAACACUGAGGAUGGUAGCUUGGAAUUUGAAUAUUUUGAAAUAAAUUCUCCAAGCAACAAUGAUAUCAAGAAUAAGAAACUCAUAGUCUACCAUCACAUAUUCCAUAUUGACUUAAGUAACACAGGGUUUUAAAAUAAUUUUAUAAUAAUUUGCAAGUUUUCAGGAAAUAUCACAGAUUGAGAUUAAUCAUGAUUAGAAAUAUUUUAAUCUUUUUAUUUUAUCAUGUCGGGAAAAAUAUUCUGCAUAAUCUAAAAUAUAUAUAUGUGUAAAGUAAAGUGUGCAGAGUGUGUACCUGAAUCGUGGAGUGGUGUAGUCGGAGUGUGUUUAGCAUGUCGAGGGAUCUCCCCCAUACUUGUUUUCUGCUUUCUUGCACAAAAAUAAAGUAGAGACACACAAGACAUAAUAAUAAUACUCUUUAUUGAUCUUGAGGCAUUUAUUACACAAGGAAGAACAAAAUUAUUUUUGGCUAUUCUCUCCCGGAUUAGGAGUAGAAUAUUUUUUGGGUGAUUCUGGAGAUGGAAAUGUAUGGAUAUAUGUGGAUGGUACUUCCGAAGUAGAAGUAGCAUGUGUGAGUGAACGUGCAAGUGAAUCUUGAUUUAACCACAUGACAAGCUCCUAAGGGUCUACACAGCUUGACCACACUCAAUGCUCAUAAGUAGUAAAAAGUAAAUGUGUGGCUCGAAGUCUAGCAAGCAUGUAUAUAUGGCUGUGGUAGGAAUUUAAACUCUCAUCAUACAGGAACUCAUCAUGCAACAUUUUAAAGAUUUCCAAAGAUAAAAUUCUCCAGAAUUCUAGCAUCUCUAGAAACAGAUAAACAGCAGCUCAACCUUCCCAUAUUAGAUUUCAGAUCAAGUUUUCAUCCCACAAGUUUAGGUCUAGAGCAAGCUUUAAAUUAUAACAGUUAUGUCUAAACUUGAGAGAGAACUUAAAAUGUGCCAAUUAGGCAGAGCAACUAUUCAUCAUUUCCAUGCUUGAGUUUUAUUUAGAUACAAAUUAGCAUAGCCACUUUAUUUAUUUAUUAAACACACUAAGCAAAAGACAUAUAUAUAUAAGCAUAAAAUCUUUAUUUGGUUUUUCAUAGUUAUGUAUAUUUAUAUUCUAAAAUAAUAUAAGUAUAAAGAUAGAUAGAUAGAAAUACUUAUCGAGAUAAAUGGGGUGCUCUCCCCCAAGCUGAAUUUUGACGUAAUUUCUCUUGAUGUAGCUAGCAGGUGGCAGAGGUGUAUUUGAAAGUCAGUAGCAUUGUGACAGCGAUUAGAAUAUCCUCCGUCUGCCAGUCUUCUUGAUUCUUAGAUUCUGUGGAGCUCAAAUAGACAACAAAGCUUGUGGAACUAAUUAAGUGUUAGCAUAAAUAUCUAGCCUUUAUCAUGUUGAGACUCCUUAAUAAUUAUUACUCCCUGUUUUUAUAUUUUUAUUUUAUAAAGCAGAAAAAAAAUUUUAUUUUAUUUUUAUGCCACCAUAGUGAAUGUAGUUAUGGGUUUUAUGCCACUCGUAUCCUCACAUGGGGCUUACUGUUUUUCACAUUUUAACUUUCUGUUUAGAACUUAAUUAACUAAGUGAACUACUUGAAAUAAUUGAAAGGGAAAGGAUAACUACCAAGUUUACCUCUUGGCAAGGCGUUCGGUGUUUUUAAGUCCUCCGAACGGGACACUCCUCCUUCUCAAUUAUCCUGAGGUUCGUUGGGUGGCGUAGUCGGUACUUCUGGCAGUGCCUCCUCUUCAUGUAUAGUUAUCUUCAUUUUCCACACCUGACUUGGUGCUUCGGUCUCCUCUGGAUAAUUCUG
Molecule: long non-coding RNA, 3481 nt
Filed under: Sorghum bicolor (sorghum)
Lineage: Eukaryota; Viridiplantae; Streptophyta; Magnoliopsida; Poales; Poaceae
Description: long non-coding RNA (SBIC_LNC010171)
Source: RNAcentral